AGACCACAUAAUAUAUGUUAAGCCUUGCGGACGGGCGGGUCGGUUGCCGA
Molecule: small RNA, 50 nt
Filed under: unclassified sequences
Description: Streptococcus sRNA SpF59 (ldcC RNA)
Rfam family: Streptococcus sRNA SpF59 (ldcC RNA)
Source: Rfam by way of RNAcentral